This is a long non-coding RNA of Lolium rigidum, 250 nucleotides long. RefSeq lists it as uncharacterized. The transcript is spliced from 3 exons. NCBI's taxonomy places the organism in Eukaryota, Viridiplantae, Streptophyta, Magnoliopsida, Poales, Poaceae. The record is from RefSeq and is a predicted model, not a curated record.
GACGAACGGCUGCUGAGUUUGGCAAAGCAGGCGGUGCUCCGGUCAGGGUACCUUGUCACGUAAAUCAUCAUUAGUGGAUGACAUGAUAACGGAAGAUUUCGACAGGUUUGCCUCCAUCAUCAGGAGGGUGGAGAGCUCGCGCAAGCUCGCUCGAUUGCAUGCUAAAGCCAAUACUUCCAUCAAGGAAAGUAUUGAUGUUUGGAGGAAGAGACAAGAUAAGCUAUAAAAUGGUUUGCCCUUAUGAUGUAUU